CCGAUUUCGUCGGGAACAGAGUGACAGGUGCUGCAUGGCUGUCGUCAGCUCGUGUCGUGAGAUGUUGGGUUAAGUCCCGCAACGAGCGCAACCCUUAUCCCUAGUUGCCAUCAGGUAAAGCUGGGAACUCUGGGGAGACUGCCGGUGAUAACCGGAGGAAGCGGGAUGACGUCAAGUCCUCAUGGCCCUUACAUCCCGGGCUACACACGUGCUACAAUGGCAGGUACAGAGGGCUGCGAAGCCGCGAGGUGGAGCGAAUCUCACAAAGCCGAUCUAAGUCCGGAUUGAAGGCUGCAACUCGCCUUCAUGAAGUCGGAGUCGCUAGUAAUCGUGGAUCAGAAUGCCACGGUGAAUACGUUCCCGGGCCUU
This 369-nucleotide ribosomal RNA is filed under the name uncultured Latescibacterota bacterium. RNAcentral describes it as "bacterial SSU rRNA". It matches the Rfam family "Bacterial small subunit ribosomal RNA", at positions 1011 to 1382 of the family's 1533-position model. The record is from RNAcentral. Lineage: Bacteria; Pseudomonadati; Candidatus Latescibacterota.